GAUGAAGAACGUAGCGAAAUGCGAUAAGUAAUGUGAAUUGCAGAAUUCAGUGAAUCAUCGAAUCUUUGAACGCACAUUGCGCCCGCCAGUAUUCUGGCGGGCAUGCCUGUUCGAGCGUCAUUUCAACCAUCAAGCCCCAGGCUUGUGUUGGGGACCUGCGGCUGCCGCAGGCCCUGAAAACCAGUGGCGGGCUCGCUGUCACACCGGGCGUAGUAGAUUUUAUCUCGCUCAGGGCGUGCUGCGGGUUCCGGCCGUUAAAAAGCCUUUUUUACCCAAGGUUGACCUCGGAUCAGGUAGGAAUACCCGCUGAACUUAAGCAUAUCAAUAAGCGGAGG
This 335-nucleotide unclassified non-coding RNA is filed under the name soil metagenome. RNAcentral's name for it is "partial contains 5.8S ribosomal RNA, internal transcribed spacer 2, and large subunit ribosomal RNA". The stretch from base 1 to 120 matches the Rfam family "5.8S ribosomal RNA", at positions 35 to 154 of the family's 154-position model. The record is from RNAcentral.